RNAcentral lists this ribosomal RNA (204 nucleotides) under uncultured bacterium. RNAcentral's name for it is "partial 16S ribosomal RNA". It matches the Rfam family "Bacterial small subunit ribosomal RNA", at positions 568 to 771 of the family's 1533-position model. The record is from RNAcentral.
CACGUAGGCGGAUUUGUAAGUCAGGGGUGAAAUCCCGGGGCUCAACCUCGGAACUGCCUUUGAUACUGCAAAUCUCGAGUCCGGAAGAGGUGAGUGGAAUUCCUAGUGUAGAGGUGAAAUUCGUAGAUAUUAGGAAGAACACCAGUGGCGAAGGCGGCUCACUGGUCCGGUACUGACGCUGAGGUGCGAAAGCGUGGGGAGAAC